Molecule: ribosomal RNA, 335 nt
Filed under: uncultured Streptococcus sp.
Lineage: Bacteria; Bacillati; Bacillota; Bacilli; Lactobacillales; Streptococcaceae
Description: bacterial SSU rRNA
Rfam family: Bacterial small subunit ribosomal RNA
Source: RNAcentral
CAUGGUUGUCGUCAGCCCGUGUCGUGAGAUGUUGGGUUAAGUCCGCACGAGCGCAACCCCUAUUGUUAGUUGCCAUCAUUCAGUUGGGCACUCUAGCGAGACUGCCGGUAAUAAACCGGAGGAAGGUGGGGAUGACGUCAAAUCAUCAUGCCCCUUAUGACCUGGGCUACACACGUGCUACAAUGGUUGGUACAACGAGUUGCGAGUCGGUGACGGCGAGCUAAUCUCUUAAAGCCAAUCUCAGUUCGGAUUGUAGGCUGCAACUCGCCUACAUGAAGUCGGAAUCGCUAGUAAUCGCGGAUCAGCACGCCGCGGUGAAUACGUUCCCGGGCCUU